Long non-coding RNA from Lolium perenne, 2277 nucleotides. RefSeq lists it as uncharacterized. The record is from RefSeq and is a predicted model, not a curated record. NCBI's taxonomy places the organism in Eukaryota, Viridiplantae, Streptophyta, Magnoliopsida, Poales, Poaceae.
AUGUAUGUCAUGACAAGUUCUCUUUAACUUUUGUAGUCACUUCAUGUUGCUUUUAGUUCGGAAGUUGCAAUGUAAAUGUGUUGGCAUGUUGAAAUCACUCAACUAUCUUCUGUAGGCAAAGAUAUAUUUUUUUCAUUCAUUUCUUACUUUAAAGCAUGCCAUUAAAUUUCCAUUUGCUUCACAUGGUUUAGUGGGUCAAGGAUUUAUACAACUACCUGGCAUACAAUAAUAUUGUGAGCCAGUUGAGAAAAAUAGUUUUGUACCAUUUAAGUUCUAAUUCGUUACUGUUUUUCUGAUCCACGUCCUUACUACCUCUAUUUUGUGUUUGUAUUUUGUCUCACAGGUGAUCAGAACUGACUAUUGCAAUUAUUGAGCCACUCUCAUGUGUGCUAUUUUUACUCAUAAUCUGAUUUCUCUAUUAGAUUAUUGCUCUCAGCUGACUAAUACUCGGUGAUAUUCCAAACUUAUAUUUCCCAAUGUUACAGCCCCAAGUAUUAGUUUUUCGUUUAAUUUAUUCAUCAGUGUGUUUAAAAACUUUCUACUUCUGCAACCUGGCUAUAACAAAUUAUGCAGUGGCCACCAUAGUACUAAUUGAGCAACUGAUUCUUGCAACAGAUGCUAUCAAUAUUUAUGUUGAUGCCAGAUUCAAUAAAAUGCCUAGCUCAUGGAGCUAUCAUCUGAGGACACGGGUAGCACGUGGUUUCAGAUUCUCUAUUGUUUCUAUAUAGUCCAUAACGUCUACUGAGGUUCGCCUCUAAGCAUUCGGUUUUUCUUUACCCUAUCUCUUUGAUUGGCGGAGAAACAUUCGUGGACAUGUUGCUUAACUAUAUGUGUGCAUCAUGUGAAAGAAAAAGCUAGACAUCAGGCAACCUCGGUGAAUGCACUUUGUUCGACAUAAAACAGGAGCAUAAAAGAGAGACAUGGUUGAGCUCACCAUGCUCUCUAGACGGAAUCAUCACAAAGGUCGCAGAAGCUGCUAGGACAUUCUGGUUGGACUUUCAAAAGAAAACUCUAGAAGGAAAGAAAGCCCAUCUUAUGGACUGUUGCAUCUACGAAAAAAGUAUGAGAAUUUAUUGGAGUUACUGUACACACGUGCUAUACUUCCGUGGGGCAACCUUAUGAAUCAAGCAGUGCGGUGACGAUGUUAACAUGUUUUUAUGGACGUGACAGGGAGAAGGCUAUCGAGUUAAUGUUUUACCCAGCGACUUUUCAUGCGAAAGAUGGGUAGCACACGACAAGAUGUCUUCAAGUUGCAGGAUGAUCUAGCACGUCGAUAUUAUGUGAUUCUAGACUCCAAGAGUUGUUUCGCUGCGAGAGUAUUCCGAUUUGAGGUCAACACUUCAUCUAAAGGACAUAGCAUAUCUUCAUUCACUGCUUUUGGAUUACAGUGCUGCCACAUAGGCCUAACUUCACACAUUAUGGUGUUCUUGCCAAAAUGUAGAGGGUAGCAUGUGUAGCUCUCUUCCCGGUAUUCUAGAUUAUGGACUGUGUGGAACAAGGUCAUAUUAUUUGUGGUAGCCAGUAAGUUUCUCUAAUAAUUGCAAGAAGUGGUUUCGUUUCAAUGGAUACUAAGCAUCAUGUAUCUAUAUUAGGCUAUAUGGAUCAUUCGUAUGAAAAUCUUUUAUACUUAUUUGACACAUGCGAGAGAAAUGUUGCUGAAAAAAUAGAGAACUUUUAUUCGUCCCAAAGUAGUUUGUAUGGAUAAGUAGACAGUGCAGAAAUCUGACUUAUUGACUUUAGUUCCAAAUCAUUGAAAGUAAUAGUAAAAAUGUCGUGUUUUGAAGAAAUAAAUUACAUCAUCUCACUAAUAUGUGUUUUGAGUCUGCGAAGCAAAGUUAAAUGUAUAUAAUUUCCAUGUACUGCAAUCUGAAUAUUUGUAGCUUAUGUUCAUUCGAAUAGGUUUCAUCUUUCAUGGUAUGCUAGCUAAUAGAAAUUUACUUUUUUCUGAUAUGAUGCAUUGUUAACUUAGAUGGAAAUUCAUAACUAUAAAGCUUCAACUACAUAUUCCGAACAAGGUGAUAUUGAAGCUUGGACAUACCAGAGAUCAACCCGUCGAGAAGCAUGUAUAUACCAGGAAACCAAAGAAUCAGCCUAGAAGUAUGCAUUUUGUCCAGAACAAGCAGUGCACCUGCAAUAGAAAAUAUUAGCCACCUAUCUACCACUGCCACAAGUAUCUAUGUGAGCUCCAAGGAAAAACACUUAGUUACUAUGGAUCACUGCUGGAGUACUGUACUAUCGACAAUCGCUCUGUAAUUCUAAGGCCCUUCUCUUUCCGCA